Phacochoerus africanus (Common warthog) is the source of this 2182-nucleotide long non-coding RNA. RefSeq lists it as uncharacterized. The transcript has 5 exons. The record is from RefSeq and is a predicted model, not a curated record. NCBI's taxonomy places the organism in Eukaryota, Metazoa, Chordata, Mammalia, Artiodactyla, Suidae.
UGAGUUUGGACUUUGCCGACAGUUGAAGGCAUUCUGAAGUGCCCACAAACUCAUUCCUAGCCACCAGAUAAGAACUCCUGAAUUAGAGCUGGCCCAAGAGAAUUCCAACUGCAACAUUUAAUAGCGCCCCAGAGCAAGGGAAAGGCUUUUAUAAAGGCCGUGGGAGCUAGAGGUGGGGCCUCCUAAGCCUGGGAGCAGCGAUGCCUUUUGAUGUGUGGUUUCUUGGCCGAGGGGGCUGCAGUAACAAGAUGGGAUCCUUAACCUACUUCGCCACAAGGGAACUCUCAGGUGUGGUUUCUUUCUACCAUCAGGGGUGUGUGAGCAGAAGCUGGAGACCCCUGGGUGGAAUAAGGAAGAUUUUAUCCAAAUGGCAGCUGACCUUCCUGCCCGGGCGCCCUCUUGCUGCGUCUGCCUGUCCUUGCCUUUCUGUCCUUAAUUCUGAGGGAGGAGUGUCUCAGAGGAUCCUGGAGCACAGGUGACCGGCUCCCUCCCACUGAAGCUGCUGGUGAAGACAAACCAGCGACUAGACCCGGUCAGAGGGGCUGGCGCUGCCCCACCCCCCUCUGCCAGUUGACGCCUCCUGCUAAAAACAGCGGGGCCCGGGGGAACUAUGGGCUUUCAGGCCUCCCCCUCCACGCCAGGGCAGGUAUUAAAGAGGCCGACGCCCAGCCAGGCUGACAGGACACCAUGCUCUUCACCGAGACGGCCCACUUCGUGGUGAAUUUUCUUCUGUCCCGGCGCCCCUGGGCCACUCUCCCGCACCGCCUGGACCAGUAGUUUUGUUUCUGGGGCUGCCGGGGCCCGGCCUUGCCGCCUGUCGCCACCCACCGCAGCCUGGGCGAUUACUGGCUGAGCCCGCAGCGCCUGCGCCCACCGGGCGCCACCUGGCGCUGGCCUGCUCGCAAUAUGCUGCUACUGCCAGGGGCCACCGGGCUGGCGGAUAUACCCUCGGCGCGCUGGCCCAGCUGCUACGGCGUUCGCCCGCGCCUCACGUGGAAACACCGGUGGCAGAAUAUUAACUACCAGUAUCUGGGCAAGAGGAAGAGACAUCUAGUUCCUCUGCGCCCGUGAGAGCCGCCAACAGAUAUUUAUGGAGCCCCCCUCAUUUGGAAAGUGACCUUGAGGCAGAAGAGAAUGGCUGGAGGGGCUGGACUUGUGUAGAGAGUCAAGCAAGAAGGCUGAUGAAGUAGCCCAGGUCCAGAAGAGGAGACUGAGGCUCAGAAGAGAGGGCCUAGAGCCACACAGCUGGGAAGUGACAAAGCCAACUCUUCACCCCUACAGUUGCCUCAACACAACAAUCCCUCACUGAAUCCUUGCCACAACCGGAAGUGGUACCCGAUGUCCUGGUUUUACAGCAGGUGUUGUGAUGCUCAGCAAGAGGAAGGGACUUCUCCAGGUCACAAAGCCGGAAGGUUGCAGCAGUUUGGAUCCAAAUCAUUUGGGGGGAACAGGUGAUGGGGCAAGAACAGUGUGGAGAGGAAGGGGUGGGACUGGCAACUGGACAAAAAGAGUGUUUCAGUUUUCCUUUUAAAGGGGCUUCCCCCUAAAUGGGGGAUUUUGGCUGGAAAGUUGUUAGUAAUCCACAUUCCACUGGUUUGGCCAUCUCCGCCUCAAAGGCUCCCAGGAACUGAAAAGAAACUGAAAGUUGGGAAGAGGGGAGGGGAGGAGGGAAGGGAGAGGCUGGGGACAGAGUAACUGGGUUGAGCUUCUGGUGACCUCACUGAGCCUGGGGGAGGCAGGCAGGCGAGCUGGGAUUACACACCUCUUAGCUAUUGGAGAAAUUGAGCCCCAGAGAGACACCCCUAUUUGUGGCUGGGUCCUUUGUGCAGCCACCCCCAACACACACACAGACACACACACACACAGACACACACACACACACACACACACACACAAACACACACUGCGUGGGGUCGGGGCAGGGGGAACCAGGGGAAGAGGGAGGAAAAUGGAGAAACGAAAGCUCUGGGCAGGAGUGUCCUCUGUGGUGCAAUGGAAUUGGUGGCAUCUCUGCAGUGUCAGAUUUAGGUUCAAACCCCAGCCCAGCACAGCGGGGUUAAAGGAUCCAGCAGUGCCGCAGCUACUGUAUGGCUUGGAUUUGAUCCCUGACCAGGGAACCACGAUAUUCCACAUGGUGGUCAGAAAAGAAAAUAAAAGAAAAUCUUAACAUCUUGAAAAGGAA